RNAcentral lists this long non-coding RNA (1131 nucleotides) under Malus domestica (apple). RNAcentral describes it as "long non-coding RNA (MDOM_LNC014582)". The record is from RNAcentral. Lineage: Eukaryota; Viridiplantae; Streptophyta; Magnoliopsida; Rosales; Rosaceae.
UUCCACUUUGAUCCGUCACGUUGGCAAAGGUUUUGGUUGACGUCCGUACAUAGAAGGAAGAGAGAGAGUGAACCGAGAGAGAUGAGAGGGUACGAGAGAGAGAAGAGAGAGAGUGUGUAUGUGUGUGGCCUAGGAUUGGUCAACUACCAAAAAUACCAUGACUUAAUCCUAAUUGGUUCCAAACAAGUAGGAUUUAAGAAUAUUGACCCAAAACUACACUUAAACCAUAUUACACAACUAACGUCCAAGGGUAUUUUCGUCAAUUCACGUCGUCGAUAAAUAUAUAUUUGGGACGGGCUGUGACAUGAAUGCUUAAAAUAUACUACGAAAUCUUUCCAAUUCCCUCUAAUUCCUCAACUUUCUCAAAAUCUUUAAAAUCAAUUUAUAAUUGAAUACUCCUAGAAUGUUAUAAACUUCUUUAAAAUCCUAAUUGAAUACACCCGGAUUUCUAUGGAUUUUAAUAAACUAUCUUAAAAUUCUAAUUGAAUACACCUUGAAUUUUAGAGAACCACUGAAAAUCCUGAUUGAAUACCUCUAAUUUCAAUUGAAUACACCCCAUUAAGGCUUGCGGAUUUAAAAGAUUAUUUGCAAUCGUUAAUUAAAACAAUAACAUUAUGUUUGGAUGAAGAAAUUUAAGAUUACUAAGAAAUUUUAAAAUGAUGGAAGUUGAAAUGAUGAGAUUUUAUUUUCUAGAAUUUGUGAAUUUUCUUGUUUGGGUAACCUAAAAAAUAAUGGGAUUGAAUAUGGAAUUUGUUAUUUUUAAACUCUCAAUCAUAAAAAUUGGGAAAUGACAUCUAUUUACAUGAAAUUUAAACUUGGGAAUUUGAGGUCCAAAAUUCCAAGUUUUUUGUCUACGCGGAAAUUCUAAAUUUCUAUAUUUAUGAAUCCAAACAAGAGAAUUAGUGCAUGUUAAUUUAUAAAUUUGGACUUUAAUCCAAAUUCUAAGUAUAUUUCCCUCAUCCAAACAUAGUGUAAAGGAAUGGAUAUAACGAGCCAGUCUAAACCCUAAAAUAAAACGAUUUACGAAAGAGGAAAUAUGGCAUGAGCUGAUGAACAUGUUAGAGAGAGAACAUAUGAAUUUAUUAAUUAAUACGAGCUGAAAAAUACAAAUACCAUGUAUUCAGACUCGAG